This 1504-nucleotide ribosomal RNA is filed under the name human gut metagenome. RNAcentral describes it as "bacterial LSU rRNA". It matches the Rfam family "Bacterial large subunit ribosomal RNA", at positions 467 to 1977 of the family's 2925-position model. The record is from RNAcentral.
UAAAUACUCCCGAGAGACCGAUAGCGAACCAGUACCGUGAGGGAAAGGUGAAAAGAACCCCGAGCAGGGGAGUGAAAUAGACCCUGAACCCGUCUGCCUACAAGCGGUCGGAGCGUCGUAAUGACGUGACGGCGUGCCUUUUGCAUAAUGAACCUACGAGUUACCUUCCCCGGCAAGGUUAAGUUCUUGAGGAACGGAGCCGAAGCGAAAGCGAGUCUGAACAGGGCGCCAAGUCGGGGGGGGUAGACGCGAAACCGAGUGAUCUACCCUUGGCCAGGUUGAAGGUUGGGUAACACCAACUGGAGGACCGGAUGGGUAAGCGUUGAAAAGCUUUCCAAUGAGCUGAGGGUAGGGGUGAAAGGCUAAUCAAACUCGGAGAUAGCUCGUACUCCCCGAAAUGCAUUUAGGUGCAGCCUCUUUAUAGUAUAUCGUGAGGUAGAGCGACUGAUUGGAUGCGAGGGCUUCACCGCCUAUCAAGUCCAGAUAAACUCCGAAUGCGCGAUAUAUAUUUACAGGGAGUGAGGGCGCGGGUGCUAAGGUCCGUGUCCGAGAGGAGAAGAAUCCAGACCACCGGCUAAGGCCCCCAAAUGAUCGUUAAGUUGAACUAACGAGGUCGGAUCGCAGAGACAGCUAGGAUGUUGGCUUGGAAGCAGCCAUUCAUUUAAAGAGUGCGUAACAGCUCACUAGUCGAGCGAUCUGGCGUGGAUAAUAAUCGGGCAUAAACGAUCUGCCGAAGCCGUGGAUGUCGCAAGACAUGGUAGGGGAGCAUUCCAUGCCGCGUCGAAGAUGAGGGAUGACCCUUGUUGGAGCGCAUGGAAAAGCAAAUGUAGGUAUGAGUAACGAUAAGGGGGGCGAGAAACCCCCCCGCCGAAAGACCAAGGUUUCCUGAUCAACGCUAAUCGGAUCAGGGUGAGUCGGGACCUAAGGCAAAGCCGAACGGCGCCGCCGAUGGAAGAAUGGGUUAAUAUUCCCAUACUGCCUCAUGGAGUGACGUGGAGACGGAGAAGUGACAGUCCUGCCGGCUGACGGAAUAGCCGGUUGAAGGGUGUAGAUAUUGAUUCCCGUAGGCAAAUCCGCGGGGAGAGUCGAACCUGAGAGUAUACGGAGCGCUUGCGCAACGUAAUAUGGACGUAACCAUGCUCCCGAGAAAAUCCGCUAAACUUAUCCAUGCGGCACCCGUACCGUAAACGGACACACGUGGUCGGGUUGAGAAUACUGAGGCGCUCGAGUGAUUCACGGUUAAGGAACUAGGCAAAUUGACCCUGUAACUUCGGGAUAAAGGGUCCUCGUCGUAAGGCGAGGCGCAGAGAAUAGGUCCAGGCAACUGUUUAACAAAAACACAUGGCUGUGCUAAAUGGAAACAUGAUGUAUACAGCCUGACACCUGCCCGGUGCCGGAAGGUUAAGAGGAGAUGUCAUCCGCGAGGAGAAGCGUUGAAUUGAAGCCCCGGUAAACGGCGGCCGUAACUAUAACGGUCCUAAGGUAGCGAAAUUCCUUGUCGGGU